GAUGAACGCUAGCUACAGGCUUAACACAUGCAAGUCGAGGGGCAGCAUGAUUGAAGCUUGCUUCAAUCGAUGGCGACCGGCGCACGGGUGAGUAACACGUAUCCAACCUGCCGAUAACUCGGGGAUAGCCUUUCGAAAGAAAGAUUAAUACCCGAUAGUAUAGUAUUUCCGCAUGGUUUCACUAUUAAAGAACUUCGGUUAUCGAUGGGGAUGCGUUCCAUUAGAUAGUUGGCGGGGUAACGGCCCACCAAGUCAACGAUGGAUAGGGGUUCUGAGAGGAAGGCCCCCCACAUUGGAAAUGAGACACGGUCCAAACCCCUACGGGAGGCAGCAGGGGGGAAUAUUGGUCAAGGGACGGGAGUCUAAACCAGCCAAGUAGCGGGAAGGAUGCCGGCCCUAUGGGUUUUAAAUUUUUUUUAUACGGGAAAAAAGGGGGGUAUGCAUACUCCUUGUUAUGUACCGUAUGAAUAAGGAUCGGCAAACUCCGG
Molecule: ribosomal RNA, 488 nt
Filed under: uncultured bacterium
Lineage: Bacteria
Description: partial 16S ribosomal RNA
Rfam family: Bacterial small subunit ribosomal RNA
Source: RNAcentral